RNAcentral lists this ribosomal RNA (396 nucleotides) under uncultured bacterium. Its description in RNAcentral is "partial 16S ribosomal RNA". It matches the Rfam family "Bacterial small subunit ribosomal RNA", at positions 523 to 918 of the family's 1533-position model. The record is from RNAcentral.
AUACGUAGGUGGCGAGCGUUGUCCGGAAUUAUUGGGCGUAAAGAGCAUGUAGGCGGCUUAAUAAGUCGAGCGUGAAAAUGCGGGGCUCAACCCCGUAUGGCGCUGGAAACUGUUAGGCUUGAGUGCAGGAGAGGAAAGGGGAAUUCCCAGUGUAGCGGUGAAAUGCGUAGAUAUUGGGAGGAACACCAGUGGCGAAGGCGCCUUUCUGGACUGUGUCUGACGCUGAGAUGCGAAAGCCAGGGUAGCGAACGGGAUUAGAUACCCCGGUAGUCCUGGCCGUAAACGAUGGUUACUAGGUGUAGGAGGUAUCGACCCCUUCUGUGCCGGAGUUAACGCAAUAAGUACCCCGCCUGGGGAGUACGGCCGCAAGGUUGAAACUCAAAUGAAUUGACGGGG